AAGUCGUAACAAGGUUUCCGUAGGUGAACCUGCGGAAGGAUCAUUACAGGGUUAUGCCGAGCAACCUUUUCAGCUUCUCUCUGAAGCCCGGAGGGGCUCUGGCAGCCACGAUCAUCCACUGUGUGCACUCAUUGAACCAUGCUUUGGCAGACUCCUUUUCUCUCCUCGUCUACGUGGCGGGGGGGGGGGAAAGCCCCUGGGCGGCCCUCCAAGGCCCCCAACGGUCUGCCAGAGUUUUUACUUAAAUAUAGCCUGAUUGCCUGCCUGAAUAUUUUUGAUCGAAACAAAAAUACAACUUUCAACAACGGAUCUCUUGGCUCUC
RNAcentral lists this unclassified non-coding RNA (322 nucleotides) under fungal sp. RNAcentral describes it as "partial internal transcribed spacer region". The stretch from base 1 to 46 matches the Rfam family "Eukaryotic small subunit ribosomal RNA", at positions 1786 to 1831 of the family's 1831-position model. Lineage: Eukaryota; Fungi. The record is from RNAcentral.